UAGGGAAUCUUCCACAAUGGACGCAAGUCUGAUGGAGCAACGCCGCGUGAGUGAAGAAGGGUUUCGGCUCGUAAAGCUCAGUUGUUAAAGAAGAACGUGGGUAAGAGUAACUGUUUACCCAGUGACGGUAUUUAACUAGAAAGCCACGGCUAACUACGUGCAG
RNAcentral lists this ribosomal RNA (163 nucleotides) under uncultured bacterium. Its description in RNAcentral is "partial 16S ribosomal RNA". It matches the Rfam family "Bacterial small subunit ribosomal RNA", at positions 355 to 510 of the family's 1533-position model. The record is from RNAcentral.